ACGAACGCUGGCGGCGUGCCUAAUACAUGCAAGUCGAACGGUCUUUCUAUGGAAGCUUGCUUCCACUGAGAAGAUAGUGGCGAACGGGUGAGUAACACGUGGGUAACCUGCCCAUAAGAGGGGGGAUAACAUCCGGAAACGGGUGCUAAUACCGCAUAGUUUUCUUGAUCGCAUGAUCGGGAAAGGAAAGACGGCCUUUGUGCUGUCGCUUAUGGAUGGACCCGCGGCGUAUUAGUUAGUUGGUGAGGUAACGGCUCACCAAGACGAUGAUACGUAGCCGACCUGAGAGGGUGAUCGGCCACAUUGGGACUGAGACACGGCCCAAACUCCUACGGGAGGCAGCAGUAGGGAAUCUUCCGCAAUGGACGAAAGUCUGACGGAGCAACGCCGCGUGAGUGAAGAAGGUUUUCGGAAUCGUAAAACUCUGUUGUCAGAGAAGAACAAGUUGGAGAGUAACUGCUCCAGCCUUGACGGUAUCUGACCAGAAAGCCACGGCUAACUACGUGCCAGCAGCAGC
RNAcentral lists this ribosomal RNA (517 nucleotides) under uncultured bacterium. Its description in RNAcentral is "bacterial SSU rRNA". It matches the Rfam family "Bacterial small subunit ribosomal RNA", at positions 29 to 518 of the family's 1533-position model. The record is from RNAcentral.